Molecule: ribosomal RNA, 440 nt
Filed under: uncultured bacterium
Lineage: Bacteria
Description: partial 16S ribosomal RNA
Rfam family: Bacterial small subunit ribosomal RNA
Source: RNAcentral
CCUACGGGAGGCUGCAGUAGGGAAUAUUGCUCAAUGGGGGAAACCCUGAAGCAGCAACGCCGCGUGGAGGAUGAAGGUUUUCGGAUUGUAAACUCCUUUUGUUAGAGAAGAUAAUGACGGUAUCUAACGAAUAAGCACCGGCUAACUCCGUGCCAGCAGCCGCGGUAAUACGGAGGGUGCACGCGUUACUCGGAAUCACUGGGCGUAAAGAGCGCGUAGGCGGGAUAGAAAGUCAGAUGUGAAAUCCUAUGGCUUAACCAUAGAACUGCAUUUGAAACUGUUAUUCUAGAGUAUGGGAGAGGUAGGUGGAAUUCUUGGUGUAGGGGUAAAAUGCGUAGAGAUCAAGAGGAAUACUCAUUGCGAAGGCGACCUGCUAGAACAUAACUGACGCUGAUGCGCGAAAGCGUGGGGAGCAAACAGGAUUAGAUACCCCAGUAGUC